AGAGUUUGAUCAUGGCUCAGGACGAACGCUGGCGGCGUGCUUAAUACAUGCAAGUCGAACGGGGUCCAACCGGUGGCAACACCGGUGAAGACCUAGUGGCGAACGGGUGAGUAGCACGUGAGCAACCUGCCCCGAAGACUGGGAUAACACCGGGAAACCGGUGCUAAUACCGGAUGUCCCCAUCAGACCGCAUGAUCUGAUGAGGAAAGGAUUUCUGCUUCGGGAGGGGCUCGCGGCCUAUCAGCUUGAUGGUGAGGUAAUGGCUCACCAUGGCGACGACGGGUAGCUGGUCUGAGAGGACGAUCAGCCACACUGGGACUGAGACACGGCCCAGACUCCUACGGGAGGCAGCAGUAGGGAAUCUUGCGCAAUGGGCGAAAGCCUGACGCAGCAACGCCGCGUGAGGGACGAAGGCUUUCUGAGUUGUAAACCUCUUUCAGCAGGGACGAUUGUGACGGUACCUGCAGAAGAAGCACCGGCCAACUACGUGCCAGCAGCCGCGGUGAUACGUAGGGUGCGAGCGUUGUCCGGAUUUAUUGGGCGUAAAGAGCUCGUAGGCGGUUCGAUAAGUCGGGUGUGAAAUCUCCAGGCUCAACCUGGAGUCGCCACUCGAUACUGUCGUGACUAGAGCCCGGUAGGGGACCAUGGAAUUCCUGGUGUAGCGGUGAAAUGCGCAGAUAUCAGGAGGAACACCAGUAGCGAAGGCGGUGGUCUGGGCCGGCACUGACGCUGAGGAGCGAAAGCGUGGGGAGCGAACAGGAUUAGAUACCCCCGUAGUCC
Molecule: ribosomal RNA, 780 nt
Filed under: uncultured bacterium
Lineage: Bacteria
Description: bacterial SSU rRNA
Rfam family: Bacterial small subunit ribosomal RNA
Source: RNAcentral